This is a long non-coding RNA of Pan troglodytes (chimpanzee), 398 nucleotides long. RefSeq lists it as uncharacterized. The transcript is spliced from 3 exons. The record is from RefSeq and is a predicted model, not a curated record. NCBI's taxonomy places the organism in Eukaryota, Metazoa, Chordata, Mammalia, Primates, Hominidae.
GGCGGGUUGGAGUUCUGCCAGGAAGCCCUUCCCACCUGGCUGUGUCACUGGUCUGGGAGGACAUUUUGAGAAUCACUGAAUCCUCUGGAAACACUAUGGAGUGAUGGAGAAAGCACCAUAUGGGGAGUCAGAUGACCUGCUCUCUAUCCCAGCUCAUCAGGGAGUCUCUGAGACAAACACUUACCAGUGCCCUGCCUGUUGCAAGCCUCCUGGCCCAUGCUGGCCAGUUCUUCUCUUGUCAGGGAAGUUAGAGAAAGAAGCCACCUUCCUGCCCUCCUGCGUGUGGUGUGAAGAGAGGUGCCUUACAAGCAAGUGCCUUCAUGGUGAGGAUAAGCUCACAGGCUCAAGGAAGAAACACAAUUGUAAGAACAACAAUGUGGAAAAGGCAGGAUCCAAGU